GAUGAACGCUGGCGGCGUGCCUAAUACAUGCAAGUCGAGCGAACGGACGAGAAGCUUGCUUUUCUGAUGUUAGCGGCGGACGGGUGAGUAACACGUGGAUAACCUACCUAUAAGACUGGGAUAACUUCGGGAAACCGGAGCUAAUACCGGAUAAUAUUUUGAACCGCAUGGUUCAAAAGUGAAAGACGGUCUUGCUGUCACUUAUAGAUGGAUCCGCGCUGCAUUAGCUAGUUGGUAAGGUAACGGCUUACCAAGGCAACGAUGCAUAGCCGACCUGAGAGGGUGAUCGGCCACACUGGAACUGAGACACGGUCCAGACUCCUACGGGAGGCAGCAGUAGGGAAUCUUCCGCAAUGGGCGAAAGCCUGACGGGGCAACGCCGCGUGAGUGAUGAAGGUCUUCGGAUCGUAAAACUCUGUUAUUAGGAAAGAACAUAUGUGUAAGUAACAGUGCACAUCUUGACGGUACCUAAUCAGAAAGCCACGGCUAACUACGU
This 496-nucleotide ribosomal RNA is filed under the name uncultured bacterium. Its description in RNAcentral is "partial 16S ribosomal RNA". It matches the Rfam family "Bacterial small subunit ribosomal RNA", at positions 28 to 506 of the family's 1533-position model. The record is from RNAcentral.